GGCAUGGUGGCGUAGUGGUUAGCACUACCGCCUCAUAGCAGGGCGUGGGUUCGAAUCUGGCCUGGGGCA
Molecule: non-coding RNA, 69 nt
Organism: Gymnothorax javanicus (giant moray)
Lineage: Eukaryota; Metazoa; Chordata; Actinopteri; Anguilliformes; Muraenidae
Source: the annotation of a GenBank genome assembly